Molecule: ribosomal RNA, 245 nt
Filed under: uncultured bacterium
Lineage: Bacteria
Description: partial 16S ribosomal RNA
Rfam family: Bacterial small subunit ribosomal RNA
Source: RNAcentral
UGAGAUGUUGGGUUAAGUCCCGUAACGAGCGCAACCCUUGUCCUUAGUUACCAGCACGUAAUGGUGGGCACUCUAAGGAGACUGCCGGUGACAAACCGGAGGAAGGUGGGGAUGACGUCAAGUCAUCAUGGCCCUUAUGGCCAGGGCUACACACGUGCUACAAUGGUCGGUACAAAGGGUUGCCAAGCCGCGAGGUGGAGCCAAUCCCAUAAAACCGAUCGUAGUCCGGAUCGCAGUCUGCAACU